GUGAAGACUGAGUAGAAGAAAACAAUUUCAAAAUCACUGAUCAAGACCUUGUUCUCAUUUUGUCUUUUUUUGAAAUGGAGUCUUGUUCUGUUGCCAGGCUGGAGUGCAGUGGUGUAACCUCGGCUCACUGCAAUCUCCACCUCCUGGGUUCAAGUGAUUCUCCUGCCUCAGCCUCCUGAGUAGCUGGGACUACAGAUCCCUAAAGCUAAUUCAGUCUUCCAUAUCCCCUGAAGAAUCAUGACUCAGCCAGUGCAUGAUGGCACUCAUCACCUACAGCUGCUGUUCUUGAGGAAAAAGGGUCCCACUUUGACCAAGUUGGUCCAGGGGUGUCUGCCAGCCCUCCAGCUCGCCAGUGGUCUGAU
RNAcentral lists this long non-coding RNA (362 nucleotides) under Homo sapiens (human). RNAcentral describes it as "PREDICTED lncRNA (TCONS_00021996)". Lineage: Eukaryota; Metazoa; Chordata; Mammalia; Primates; Hominidae. The record is from RNAcentral.